Molecule: ribosomal RNA, 501 nt
Filed under: uncultured bacterium
Lineage: Bacteria
Description: partial 16S ribosomal RNA
Rfam family: Bacterial small subunit ribosomal RNA
Source: RNAcentral
AUUGAACGCUGGCGGCAGGCUUAACACAUGCAAGUCGAGCGGAGAUGAGGUGCUUGCACCUUAUCUUAGCGGCGGACGGGUGAGUAAUGCUUAGGAAUCUGCCUAUUAGUGGGGGACAACAUUCCGAAAGGAAUGCUAAUACCGCAUACGUCCUACGGGAGAAAGCAGGGGAUCUUCGGACCUUGCGCUAAUAGAUGAGCCUAAGUCGGAUUAGCUAGUUGGUGGGGUAAAGGCCUACCAAGGCGACGAUCUGUAGCGGGUCUGAGAGGAUGAUCCGCCACACUGGGACGGAGAACCGGCCCAGACUCCUACGGGAGGCAGCAGUGGGGAAUAUUGGACAAUGGGGGGAACCCUGAUCUAGCCAUGCCGCGUGUGUGAAGAAGGCCUUAUGGUUGUAAAGCACUUUAAGCGAGGAGGAGGCUCUUUUGGUUAAUACCCAAGAUGAGUGGACGUUACUCGCAGAAUAAGCACCGGCUAACUCUGUGCCAGCCGCCGCCGUAA